RNAcentral lists this unclassified non-coding RNA (254 nucleotides) under fungal sp. RNAcentral describes it as "partial internal transcribed spacer region". The stretch from base 1 to 46 matches the Rfam family "Eukaryotic small subunit ribosomal RNA", at positions 1786 to 1831 of the family's 1831-position model. The record is from RNAcentral. Lineage: Eukaryota; Fungi.
AAGUCGUAACAAGGUUUCCGUAGGUGAACCUGCGGAAGGAUCAUCAUUGGUAUUUUUUUUGUUUGUUGGGUGAUGUGUUGGAGGAGGGGAGGGGGGUGUGAGGAUCCCCCUUCACACCACACACACACACACACGCCAACAACCCAUUGAAUCCCAUUGAAUCCCAGCAAAAACAGACAGCAGAGGGGGAACAUGGCUGAGACAGAAGCGAGGAAAACAGAAACAACUUUCAACAACGGAUCUCUUGGCUCUCA